UGGGGAAUAUUGCACAAUGGGCGCAAGCCUGAUGCAGCCAUGCCGCGUGUAUGAAGAAGGCCUUCGGGUUGUAAAGUACUUUCAGUCGGGAGGAAGGUGGUAAGGUUAAUAACCUUAUCAAUUGACGUUACCGACAGAAGAAGCACCGGCUAACUCCGUGCCAGCAGCCGCGGUAAUACGGUGGGUGCAAGCGUUAAUCGGAAUUACUGGGCGUAAAGCGCACGCAGGCGGUUGAUUGAGUCAGAUGUGAAAUCCCCGGGCUCAACCUGGGAACUGCAUCUGAUACUGGCAAGCUUGAGUCUCGUAGAGGGGGGUAGAAUACCAGGUGUAGCGGUGAAAUGCGUAGAGAUCUGGAGGAAUACCGGUGGCGAAGGCGGCCCCCUGGACGAAGACUGACGCUCAGGUGCGAAAGCGUGGGGAGCAAACAGG
Molecule: ribosomal RNA, 429 nt
Filed under: Chloroflexota bacterium
Lineage: Bacteria; Bacillati; Chloroflexota
Description: Chloroflexi bacterium partial 16S ribosomal RNA
Rfam family: Bacterial small subunit ribosomal RNA
Source: RNAcentral